GAUGAACGCUGACAGAAUGCUUAACACAUGCAAGUCAACUUGAAUUUGGGUUUUUAACUUAGGUUUGGGUGGCGGACGGGUGAGUAACGCGUAAAGAACUUGCCUCCCAGCUAGGGACAACAUUUGGAAACGAAUGCUAAUACCUAAUAUUAUGAUAAUAGGGCAUCCUAUAAUUAUGAAAGCUAUAAGCGCUGUGAGAGAGCUUUGCGUCCCAUUAGCUAGUUGGAGAGGUAACGGCUCACCAAGGCGAUGAUGGGUAGCCGGCCUGAGAGGGUGAUCGGCCACAAGGGGACUGAGACACGGCCCUUACUCCUACGGGAGGCAGCAGUGGGGAAUAUUGGACAAUGGACCAAGAGUCUGAUCCAGCAAUUCUGUGUGCACGAUGAAGUUUUUCGGAAUGUAAAGUGCUUUCAGUUGGGAAGAAAGAAAUGACGGUACCAACAGAAGAAGUGACGGCUAAAUACGUG
This 467-nucleotide ribosomal RNA is filed under the name uncultured bacterium. Its description in RNAcentral is "partial 16S ribosomal RNA". It matches the Rfam family "Bacterial small subunit ribosomal RNA", at positions 28 to 507 of the family's 1533-position model. The record is from RNAcentral.